RNAcentral lists this transfer RNA (70 nucleotides) under Mantis religiosa (praying mantis). RNAcentral describes it as "tRNA-Val". Lineage: Eukaryota; Metazoa; Arthropoda; Insecta; Mantodea; Mantidae. The record is from RNAcentral.
CAGGUUAAACUUAAAGUUAAGGUUUUCAUUUACACUGAAAUUUAUUAUCGUGCGAUUCGAUUUAAUCUGA